AAGCAAAGUCCUCCUCCAGCUCUGUCAUUCUACAGUGGAAGUAUAUUGGGUCGAGUGAACUCAGGUGUGUGGCUGGAUAGCCCUGCGGUAGCUGUCAGAGAUGGGUUUUUUGCCAAUAUCUGGUAACUUCAUUAUGUACUUCUGUGCCCAAAGCAUCCCUAUGUGGUGCCUGGGGUUUUGGAUAGGUCUGUUGUGGUGCGGCUGAGCUAACAUUUCCUCAGGAAGAUUGCUUUCAAGUUUCUGAGCUUUCAGAUUUCCUUCCUAUGGCUUCAUAUUGAGCUAGUUUAAGGGAGUUUUGGGAUUCCUGUUCUCAAGCUGCUGUUUUGAAAGUCCAGAAAAGGAAAACAUUCUGCCCUGAAUGAAGGAAUGCUGGCUAACAGUGGAACUUGUCCUGUAUCCAUUUGGAGGCUAUGAAAAAGUGGAUUUUAAAUCUAUUUACAGUAGAAAGUGUGAUAAGAGAGUGUGAAUGCCAAUACAGGCAAUCAUUCCUUGUACCGGGUGAUGAACCUAUUUGUUUGUUUUCAGAUUAUGCUGAAUCAAUCAUGUGAACUUCUCCUCCAGAAGCACAAACUGUAAUUUUGCUCACCUUUAGUGUCUCCCUUAAUUGUGGAAGUUGUGGGUUUCUGUGCUUAUGACGAGGUGUUAAUGCAACUGGUGUAAACAUGUCUGUUUUCGAAGCUGCUCUGAAAGCGGGCAACCCAAGCGUUAAUGAAUUAGAUCACCCAGUAGCCUCAAGUUAUUUAAGAAGGCCUGCUAAUUUCACUUUGUGGCAGUUGCGCACUGUUGCAAUCCUGGCUGUGGCACAUUCUCUUCAAAAAUAAUGCCCUCAGCUAGUGGUGCUUCUGCCUGACAGCCAAAAACAAGAGCAAAUGGGGUGUUGGAAUCUACAUCUUCCCUGGUUUCUAAA
This is a non-coding RNA of Podarcis lilfordi (Lilford's wall lizard), 907 nucleotides long. Lineage: Eukaryota; Metazoa; Chordata; Lepidosauria; Squamata; Lacertidae. The record is from the annotation of a GenBank genome assembly.